This 440-nucleotide ribosomal RNA is filed under the name uncultured bacterium. Its description in RNAcentral is "partial 16S ribosomal RNA". It matches the Rfam family "Bacterial small subunit ribosomal RNA", at positions 338 to 795 of the family's 1533-position model. The record is from RNAcentral.
CCUACGGGAGGCAGCAGUGGGGGAUAUUGCACAAUGGGGGAAACCCUGAUGCAGCGACGCCGCGUGGGUGAAGAAGCGCCUCGGCGCGUAAAGCUCUGUCAGUAGGGAAGAAAAUGACGGUACCUGAAGAAGAAGCCCCGGCUAACUACGUGCCAGCAGCCGCGGUAAUACGUAGGGGGCAAGCGUUAUCCGGAUUUACUGGGUGUAAAGGGGGCGCAGGCGGCGAUGCAAGCCAGGAGUGAAAGCCCGGGGCCCAACCCCGGGACUGCUGUUGGAACUGCGUGGCUAGAGUGCAGGAGGGGCAGGCGGAAUUCCUGGUGUAGCGGUGAAAUGCGUAGAUAUCAGGAGGAACACCGGUGGCGAAGGCGGCCUGCUGGACUGCAACUGACGUUGAGGCCCGAAGGCGUGGGGAGCAAACAGGAUUAGAUACCCUUGUAGUC